GAGCUGGUAGCAAAUGGUGGCGUUGCAGCGGAUUCUUACUCCGCAGGACGCGGGUUCGACUCCCGCCCAGCUCA
This 74-nucleotide transfer RNA is filed under the name Myxococcales bacterium. RNAcentral describes it as "tRNA-Lys". It matches the Rfam family "tRNA". Rfam says of the family: Transfer RNA (tRNA) molecules are approximately 80 nucleotides in length. Their secondary structure includes four short double-helical elements and three loops (D, anti-codon, and T loops). Further hydrogen bonds mediate the characteristic L-shaped molecular structure. tRNAs have two regions of fundamental functional importance: the anti-codon, which is responsible for specific mRNA codon recognition, and the 3' end, to which the tRNAs corresponding amino acid is attached (by aminoacyl-tRNA synthetases). tRNAs cope with the degeneracy of the genetic code in two manners: having more than one tRNA (with a specific anti-codon) for a particular amino acid; and 'wobble' base-pairing, i.e. permitting non-standard base-pairing at the 3rd anti-codon position. The record is from RNAcentral. Lineage: Bacteria; Pseudomonadati; Myxococcota; Myxococcia; Myxococcales.